This is a long non-coding RNA of Xyrauchen texanus (razorback sucker), 6273 nucleotides long. RefSeq lists it as uncharacterized. The record is from RefSeq and is a predicted model, not a curated record. NCBI's taxonomy places the organism in Eukaryota, Metazoa, Chordata, Actinopteri, Cypriniformes, Catostomidae. The transcript has 3 exons.
CGCAAAGUGGGUAGCGAAAAAAAACAAAUGUGCUUCUUUUCUAAAUUGUAGAUUUGUUUUUGCAAUGCCACAACAAAUUACAGGGAUUCAAACUCAUGAGGGGUGAAAAAGCUGUUUCUUAAAGGGUUUGUUGGGGUCCAGCCACCUCUGAAAUGACAGCAAUAAACUAAAACACACACACACUGGUUUACCGGAGAGCUGGAGGUGUCCUCAUUGAUCUGCAGGCUGAAGUACUGUUUCUCCACUAUGUUUAAGUGUUCAAAAGCCAAGUCAAACAACAGAUGACCAGCAUCAUGUUUCUGCAAAUCAAUAGUACAUGCUGUCCCAUGAAUUGUGUGAGUUUUGUUUUUUUUAGAUAUCACGCUGUCAAAACAUUUUUAAUUCAUUUUCUUACACAGCAUUUAUGAACAGUUUUUCAGUAAACUCAGAAUGUUUUAAAAUAAGGUACAUUAACUGAGAAGAAAAAUUACAUAAGUCUUGUUUUCAGGUUCAAUCUAACAAAAUUUGACAAUUAAUACAAAUUUACUUAAAGGUAUAGUUCAUCCAAAAAUAAAAAUUAUUUAAUCAUUUACUCACCCUCAUGCCAUCAUAGAUUUUAGAAGAAUAUCUUAGCUCUGUAUGUCCAUACAAUGCAAGUGAGUGAUGGCCAGAACUUUGAAGGUCCAAAAAGCACAUAAAGGCAGCACAAAAUGUAUCCAUAAAACUCUAGUGGUUUAUCAAUGUCUUCUGAUGCAAUCCAAUUAGUUUUGGGUGAGAUGUAACACAUUUUCGAUUACACUUCCUAGUGCUUGAAGCAUGCACAGAGCGCUAGAUGGUGCUAUAGGAAGUAUAAUCAUGUAAAGUCAUGUGUCAUGGCAUCCGCUCAUGUUAUUUCUUCCUGCAUUGCAUGUCACAUGUUUAAACUAGCCUCUUCCGUCAGCAGUGAGGGAUUCACAUGUGAUAAAUGUAAGGAAUUAGUCAGGCUGACGGAGAAGGUUAAUGAGUUAGAGACACGCAUCCGAACGCUAGUGGAGGUCAGUGAGAAAGAGAAGCCAGUAGAUACUGUUUUGGAUGUGAGUAGUACAGAGAGCAACACACACACUUUGGUUCCGGCUGUAGAGCCCCCGCAGCACUGCAUUUGGGUGACGUCUUGGUGGCAUACUCGCUCAGCAAAGAGACACCACUCUCCCGUUCCUGUUAGGGUUUCCAAUCAAUUUUCCCCACUCAGUGAUGCACCCACUGAGAAUCAUGUUGAAAGAGCCCUUGUUAUUGGCAAUUCUAUUGUAAGGAACGUGGAAAUAGAGACUCCAGCCACUAUUGUUAAUUGCAUUUCGGGUGCCAGCGCAUCUGACAUCAAAUCAAAUUUACAAGUGCUGGCUAAUGCUAAACAUAGAUUUUCUAAAAUUUUUAUUCAUGUAGGCACUAAAGAUGUCCAGCUUUGCCAGUCGGAGAUCACUCAAGAUAAUGUUAAAGCGGUGUGUGAAUUUGCAAAAACUAUGUCAGACACUGUAAUAUACUCCCUCCUUGCUCGUUGUGGUGACGAGGUUUAUAGUAGAUUAGUGUCACUGAACGGCUGGAUGUCUGAAUGGUGUCUGGAGAAAUGAAUAGGAUUCAUAGACAAUUGGAAGAGCUUUUGGGGUAGACCUGACUUGCUAAAGAGAGACGGACUCCAUCCCUCCAUGGAAGGUGCCGCUUUCCUCUCUAGUAAUUUGGCUCAUAGUCUUAAUAAUUAUAGUAUUUGACUAACUGGGGCCCAGGUCAGGAAGCAGACAAAUUGGUUAAUCCGAACAUCUGCUAGCUGCCUUGAGAUGUCACACAGGUCACAUAAACUACAACACAAAGAGACUGUAUCACCUAGAUAUCUCAUAGAGACUGUGUCUGUUCCCCAAACUAUCAAACACAAACCCAUCACUAAAUCAUUUAGAAAAAAUGUGAUUACGAUAAAACUUAUUACGAUAAAACAAAUUAAUGACAUACAUCAUAUGAAGAUAGGGCUACUAAACAUUAGAUCUCUUUUUACCAAAGCACUAAUUGUAAAUUAAAUUAUUACAGAUCAUAGUUUUUAUGCACUCUGUUUGACUGAAACCUGGCUUAAACCAGAUGAAUAUAUUAGUUUAAAUGAAUCUACUACCCCAGGUUAUUGUUAUAAACAUGAGCCUCGUCUGAAGGGUCGAGGAGGUGUUGCUACAAUAUACAGUGAAGUGUUUGGUGUUACUCAGAGGACAGGAUAUAAAUGUAAGUCUUUUGAACUAAUAAUGCUUAAUGUGACACCGUCAGAUAUAAAUAAAAAAAUUAUGUAGUCUUUUAACCUUGCUACAGUAUAUAGAUCACCUGGGCCAUAUUCUGAUUUCCUUGGUGAAUUUGCAAACUUUUUAUCAGAUCUUGUAGUUACUGUAGAUAGAGCUUUAAUUGUUGGUGACUUCAACAUUCACAUAGAUAAUGAAAAUGACAGAUUGGCAUUAGCAUUUAUCGAUAUUCUGAACUCUCUUGGAGUCAGACAAAAUGUAACGGGACCAACUCAUCGCCAUAAUCAUACACUAGAUUUAAUUCUGUCAUAUGGAGUUGAUGCUGAUAAUAUAGAAAUUCUGCAGCAGAGCGAUGACUUCUCGGAUCAUCACCUCGUGUGUUGUAUACUGUGAUCAGCUAAUGUUACUCAAUCUACACCAUGCUAUCAUUCAGGUAGGACUAUUCAUUCAAUCACUAAAGAUAGCUUCACUAAUAAUCUUCCAGAUCUAUCUCAUACACUCAGUAAACUCCAAAGCCCAGAAGAACUUGAUGAAAUAACAAAAAAUAUAAAUGCAGUCUUCUCUAGCUCUCUUGAUAGUGUUGCCCCUCUUCAAUUAAAGAAAAUUCAAGAAAUAAACUCUGAACCAUGGUACAAUGAUCACACUCAUGUUCUCAAGAGAGCAGCUUGGAAAAUGGAGUGCAUGUGGAAGAAUAAAAAUUUAGAACUAUUUCGUGGUGCAUGAAAGGAUAGUAUCUCAUAGAAACUCAUAGAAAAUAACCACAACAAUCCUAGCUGUUUAUUCAGUACUGUGGCUAAAUUGGUUAGGAAUAAAGCCUCAACAGAACCAGAUAUUAUGUCGCAGCACAAGAGUAAUGACUUCAUGAAUUUCUUUACAGAUAAAAUUUAAAUAAUCAGAAAUAAAAUUGGAAUUAUCAGUCAUAGCACCUCAGAAAACAGUGUCUUUUUUCCUCACGUGCAACUGCAAUCCUUUGCUGUCAUAGGUCAUGAAGAGCUAACAAAACUUAUCGAAACAUCAAAAGCCACAACAUGUUUGUUAUAUCCAAUACCAACUAAGCUCUUAAAAGAGGUAUUUCCUGUAAUUUCAGAACCUCUUCUUAAUAUCAUUAACUCCUUGCAAUCCUUAGAAGAUGUCCCAAGAAACUGUAAACUGGCAGUUAUCAAACCGCUUAUUAAGAAGCCACAACUUGGUCCUGAGAACUGGCUAAUUAUAGACUGAAUUCAAAUCUCCUCUUUAUUUUAAAAAUACUAGAAAAGGUAGUAUCCUCCUAAAUAUAUUCAUUUCUACAGAUAAAUAGUAUAUACAAAGAAUUUCAGUCAGGAUUUAGGCCCCAUCACAGUACAGAGACAGCACUUAUCAGAGUUACAAAUGACUUGCUCUUAUCAUCUGAUCGCGGCUGCAUUUCUGUAAGGAUCUCCCUUUUGGGAUGUUAUUCUCCCAAUAGGGGGAGAAUGUUCCCCUCCCCUCCUGCAGAUGGCACUAACACCCCUAACCCAGUUCUACCAUCCACUCACUAACCCUCAUUCCCUUCACCUGUGCUUCGCCCUACAUAAGCCUGCUUCUUUUUCACCAAGGUGUUCAGUCUUGAGACUUUGUACCCUGUUCUUCCCGUGACCAGCCCUCAGCUAAGUUUCUUUCUAGUUGCAUUAUUGAUCCAUGUUUCUCUUUGUUUCUCAGUUUUGUGGAAGCUCGGCUUACCAAGUUUAUUUGUACUUUUUGACCCUCGUGUCAAUUUUGUUUUUCAGUUUUGUGGAAGCUCAGCUUUCCAAGUUUAUUUGUACUUUGCAAUUCUCUACAAUUAAAAGAUUAUAUAUACUUUUUGGAAGAAACACAAGUAUCCAAGACUCUUUACUUUUCUGUUUUUGGUUCAACUAUUGGGGAAUUAGCUCAGUGGUAGAACACCAUACACUUAAGCAUUGCAGACCUGGGUUCGAUUCCCACCUACGGCAGCCCUGCCACAGCUUCUCUUCUAGUGCUUUUAGAUCUUAGUGCUACAUUCGACAUGAUAGAUCACAACAUUCUUGAAUAGGCUAGAGCAUUAUGUUGGCAUUUGUGGAGUUGCAUUAGCAUGGUUUAGGUCCUAUUUAGCAGACAGCAACCACUUUGUCUAUGUAAAUGAGGAACUGUGAAACCAAACAAAAGUUAAGUAUUGAGUACCACAUGGAUCAGUUUUAGGGCCUCUGCUUUUCUCCUUGUAUAUGCUUCCCCUUGGAGAUAUUAUCAGGAAACGUGGAAUAAGUUUCCACUGUUAUGCCGACGAUACCCAACUUUACAUUUCUUCAAAACAUGAUGAGAUUUCAAAAUUCUCCAAAUUAGCAGAGUGUAUCAAUGAAAUAAAAGAUUGAAUGGCCAGACAUUUCCUUCUACUCAAUUACGACAAAACAGAGGUACUAAUUAUUGGACCAAAAAACUCAAAAAAUAAGCUGCUAAAAUAAAAUUAGACUCUCGAUGGAUAUACUGUUACAGCAUCUUCAACAGUGAAGAAUUAGGUGUUAUAUUUGAUACCAAUCUGUCCUUUGAAAAUCUAAUUACAAAUGUUUGUAGAAAAGCAUUCUUCCAGCUUAGAAAUAUUGCUAAAUUAUGGCACAUGCUCUCUGUUGAAUGAAUUAAUGCAUUCAUGACCUCAAGACUAGAUUAUUGUAAUGCAUUACUGGGAGGAUGUCCAGCAAGAUCAAUAAAUAAACUUUAAUUGGUUCAAAAUGCGACCAUAUUAGCCCCAUUUUAUCAUCGUUACAUUGGCUACCUGUUAAAUUUCGUAUUAAUUUUAAAAUUCUGUUAACUACAUAUAAAGCUUUGAAUGGUCUAGCUCCACAGUACUUAAAUAACCUUCUACCACGCUAUAUUCCACGUUCAUUAUGAUCGCAAAAUUCUGGCCUGUUAAUAGUUCCUAGAAUAUCAAAAUCCACAAAUGGAGGUAGAUCCUUUUCAUAUUUGGCUCCUAAACUAUGGAAUAGUCUCCCUAACGAUGUUUGAGAUGCAGACGCACUCCCUCAGUUUAAGUCUAGACUAAAGACUCACCUAUUUAGCCAGGCAUACACCUAAUUUAUCUUCAAACCCCCAAUUAGGCUGCUUUAGUUAGGUCUGCUGAGACCAGAAACCAGAAACAUUGAUCAUGAUCUAUAACUAUGUAAUAAAUUGAAUGGCAUCUAUGCUAAUAUUAUCUUUAUUUGUUUCCCUGCCUCAACCUCGGGAUUCCUAUCCUGAGGUCACCAGAACCAGCUGGAUCCAGCACCAUUCAUGUUUCGUGUUGGACUCCACUGCUACGUGUCACUGAAUGAUGAUGACUAAAUGCAGCCGGUGCCAGCCAAACAUCAUUUCAAUCUAUUAUGAUGGACUUCAGAGGAUAAACUGAUGCCAACUCCAACCAUAAGACAUGGGAUACUUCAUAUGCCAUUGUCUGAACCUUGGACUUAGGAUGGACCACACCGAAUCUCACCGAAAUUACCGGCCAGGUUUAACUGCGAUGCACCUCACUGAUCUCUGCCUGCAUCACCUCGGUCUACUGAUGGACUAUACUCUUGAAAUGCAAUACAUAGGACUAUCAAUUGCCAACAAAAGCCUCCAUCAGCCAAUUUACAAGGACAAUUGCAUUUAUGUGAACUUCUGCAGUUAAUACAGGAUGGACUUCAAAGACAUUAGUCAUUAAUCUUACAGUCCCUUAACACUUACUUAGUUUAAUAAUUUUAAACCAUGACUUGCACUAUACAUAAGUAUAUUAUAUUAUAUUCAUGAUGUUAGCCUGAGGGGAACUGGUCCCCACAGUGAGUCUGGUUUCUCCCAAGGUUAUUUUUCUCCCAUUAACCAACAUCUUAUGGAGUUUUGUGUUCCUUGCCACAGUCACCUUCGGCUUGCUCACUGGGGUAAUAAAUACAAUUAAUAUAUAAUUUUUAUAAAUAUAUAAUUAUUUUAUAAACACAAUUCACAAUCGUAUUUUAUCUAAUUACACAAUGAUAUUAUAGUUUUAUCUUCGGUUAAUGCCUGACCUUCUGUAAAGCUGCUUUGAAAUGUUGUGUGUUGUGAAAGGUGCUAUACAAAUAAAAUUGUCUUA